This 839-nucleotide ribosomal RNA is filed under the name uncultured archaeon. RNAcentral's name for it is "bacterial SSU rRNA". It matches the Rfam family "Archaeal small subunit ribosomal RNA", at positions 21 to 859 of the family's 1478-position model. The record is from RNAcentral.
AGGUCACUGCUAUCGGUGUUCGUCUAAGCCAUGCGAGUCAUAUGUUCUUCGUGAACAUGGCGUACUGCUCAGUAACACGUGGAUAACCUGCCCUUGGGUCUGGCAUAACCCCGGGAAACUGGGGAUAAUACCGGAUAACGCAUAUCUGCUGGAAUUCUUUAUGCGUGAAAUGGAUUCGUCUGCCCAAGGAUGGGUCUGCGGCCUAUCAGGUAGUAGUGGGUGUAAUGUACCUACUAGCCGACGACGGGUACGGGUUGUGAGGGCAAGAGCCCGGAGAUGGAUUCUGAGACAUGAAUCCAGGCCCUACGGGGCGCAGCAGGCGCGAAAACUUUACAAUGCGGGAAACCGUGAUAAGGGGACACCGAGUGCCAGCAUUAUAUGUUGGCUGUCCGGGUGUGUAAAAUACACCUGUUAGCAAGGGCCGGGCAAGACCGGUGCCAGCCGCCGCGGUAACACCGGCGGCCCGGGUGGUGAUCGUGUUUAUUGGGUCUAAAGGGUCCGUAGCCGGUUUGGUCAGUCCUCCGGGAAAUCUGAUAGCUCAACUAUUAGGCUUUCGGGGGAUACUGCCAGGCUUGGAACCGGGAGAGGUAAGAGGUACUACAGGGGUAGGAGUGAAAUCUUGUAAUCCCUGUGGGACCACCUGUGGCGAAGGCGUCUUACCAGAACGGGUUCGACGGUGAGGGACGAAAGCUGGGGGCACGAACCGGAUUAGAUACCCGGGUAGUCCCAGCCGUAAACGAUGCUCGCUAGGUGUCAGGCAUGGCGCGACCGUGUCUGGUGCCGCAGGGAAGCCGUGAAGCGAGCCACCUGGGAAGUACGGCCGCAAGGCUGAAACUUAA